CCAUUUGCCCUUCUUGUUUCGUUGAUGUGCAAAUCCCUGGUUAAAGAUCAACUUCCGAGAUCUAAAACUAAAAUAGUGCCAGCUAGGGAAAGCCUAUCAAGAAUGGAAGAGCUUAGGAGAAGGAGAAAAAAAGAAGUCUGCUAUAGCUAAAUCCCCAAUCAUUAUUUUGAUGUUAGCAGUCUUGAUAUGACAUUUCACUGCCAGAGUCAGCUUUCCAGUACCUGUAGGGCUUUUGCCACAAGGAUGGCUAAGCUUGCCCCAGGGCAGGAGUGGUAUGAGGCAAGAAAGAAAAGUGCCAUUUCCACCAACUCUUUACAAUAGAUUUUUCUCUUCAUCAGAUAAGCUGAAGCAGACCAAUUAGUACCACAGGAGAUUAAAGUACCAAAAUAAGACAGAUAUAAACAGGACCCACAACUCAUCGUCUGGUUUUGAAGAGUUCGCUAUCUCCGAAGAAGUUGUGUUCUUUCUGUAGAAACCUUCAUUUUUGAGCUCGUAGGGA
Molecule: long non-coding RNA, 499 nt
Filed under: Gossypium barbadense (sea-island cotton)
Lineage: Eukaryota; Viridiplantae; Streptophyta; Magnoliopsida; Malvales; Malvaceae
Description: long non-coding RNA (GBAR_LNC009122)
Source: RNAcentral